This 641-nucleotide ribosomal RNA is filed under the name uncultured bacterium. RNAcentral describes it as "bacterial SSU rRNA". It matches the Rfam family "Bacterial small subunit ribosomal RNA", at positions 8 to 649 of the family's 1533-position model. The record is from RNAcentral.
AGAGUUUGAUCCUGGCUCAGGACGAACGCUGGCGGCGUGCUUAACACAUGCAAGUCAACGACACUUAUGUAGCAAUAUGUACGUGGAGUGGCGCACGGGUGAGUAACGCGUAUGUAAUCUGCCUUUGGCUCUGGAAUAACACCUCUAACGAGAUGCUAAUACCGGAUGAUGCAGCGGCACCGCAUGGUGACAGUUGUUAAAGCUUCGGCGGCCAUAGAUGAGCAUGCGUUUGAUUAGGUAGUUGGUAAGGUAACGGCUUACCAAGCCUUCGAUCAAUAGCUGGUCUGAGAGGAUGAUCAGCCACACUGGGACUGAGACACGGCCCAGACUCCUACGGGAGGCAGCAGUGAGGAAUAUUGCGCAAUGGACGAAAGUCUGACGCAGCAACGCCGCGUGCGGGAUGAAGGCCCUUUGGGUCGUAAACCGCUGUAGAAGGGGAAAAAUAUCCACCUCAGGUGGAUUGAUGGUACCCUUAAAGUAAGCCUCGGCUAACUACGUGCCAGCAGCCGCGGUAAUACGUAGGAGGCGAGCGUUGUCCGGAUUUACUGGGUGUAAAGGGUCCGCAGGCGGACCAUUAAGUCGAGGGUGAAGUCCUACAGCUUAACUGUAGAACUGCCUUCGAUACUGACGGUCUUGAAUAU